ACAGCACUAUAACAGUGGGAUUCAGUAUCUUCCUCCUUUUAAUAUUAUUCCAUGAAGUAAGCUCAUUUGCCCCCGCAAGCAGACUUUUCAAGCAUCCAGUCUCCUGGCUCCCCUAACUAUGGGACAAAAUUGGAUAAAUUUGAUACCAUCCGGACGAUUUGGUGUUGGGCCAGGAAUAGGGUUUUUUAGGCCUGGAUUCGGAGGAGGUGCUGCCUUUGGUCUGGGAACAUCUGUUAUUGGUCUCAAUCAAAUCAACCCUUUCUUCAUGGGGUCAAAGGCAAGUAACUCUCAGCGGAUCCAUUGUAAUCAGAACAACAACGGUUUCUGGAAACGUUAUACUUGUCGCCACUGAGAGAUCCCGUAUUGGGGCAGGAUGUACAUCGGAUAGACUAGGACCUGUGCUUCAAAGAUUCCGUCUUUUUUCCAACUUUUUUGGCGGCUCAAAUACCCUGCCAGGAGUCGUUGCUGAUGUAACGCUGGCUGCCAACAGAGAAGUUACCUUUGACGUGGCCUCACACAAUCUGCCUUUCGAUGACCUUGAAAGUUAUGCAGGACGUGGAAUAGGUCUUUGUACCGAUCUGACAACAGGCACUGAUGGUCGCCAAGUGUGUGUGGAUCCAGUCUCCGCAUGCUGCAAAUUGGGAUUCGACAACAAGGAGGCCGUUCUACUUCCCAUACCCUGAGAAGAGAAAUACAGCAUUUCUCUCAGUCUCGUUUCCAUUUAACUAUCUAUAUAUUAUGUACAUAUUCAUGGUCUACAAAAAAUGAAUUUUGAAGAAAUGGUAUUUGAUACAGAAAAUUUAAAGUUUUCUUAUUUUAGUAUGUGAUGCACAGACACAUACGUUCAAAUUGAUUGCUUAUCAUGAUACAAGUGAUGAGUUAUUCAACCCAUAGGACAUACACCUUUGCAAAAUGGUAACUAUCUAAAACUUAACAAUAGCUAAAAUAUCAUGUGUACUGGCAAGACUGUAUUUCUAUCAAGAAAUAAAUAAAGGAAUGAC
Molecule: long non-coding RNA, 1001 nt
Organism: Haliotis rufescens (red abalone)
Lineage: Eukaryota; Metazoa; Mollusca; Gastropoda; Lepetellida; Haliotidae
Exons: 4
Source: RefSeq, a predicted model, not a curated record